CAAGCCAACUCAAGCUGCCUCAGCCACCUCAGCCAGCAGCUGAUUCCACUUUACAGCCCAUGUGGAAUUUGCCACAGGACUUCUGUUGAAUAUUUUGCUGUCUGUGUUUUGGGCCACAGACUUUCGGACUACUGGAAACAAUUUACUGAGAAUCUCCCUGGUGAUGUGUGUGAACUCAGGGAAACAGCUGUGUUUCAGCCAUGAUGUGCAGGGGGGUUGGACUCAAUGAUCUCCAGAUGCCACUUCCAACCCCUAACAUCCUGUGAUUUGGAUUGAUCAUGACAUAGACUAUACUUGAACAGAGUGAAGAUCUGGUGCCUCUACAACAAGAAGUCUAUGUACUUGUUGCGGAGGGGUGUUCUGCCACCUACGACGAUUUGUGGCAGAGGGGAGAAAUUAAUUGGUGCAAGAUAAUAUUCUACAAAAAUAUGUAUUUAUUGAACUCAAUAUUACAAACUCUUGCACCCCCAACCACUGUACAUUAAUAUUUAAGUGGAUUCUACAGUUAUGAAAACAUUAUCGGAUAAAUAUCUACAGUAACUUACUAAUAACUCACAAACAUUCAAACUAUAAACAGAGAGAGGAUUUUCCCCAUGGCAAAUACCGUAUGGGGUCUAUAUACUAUUUGCCCAGCAGAGUGGGCUGAAAACUCUCUGCUCUAUGGCAGAGG
Molecule: long non-coding RNA, 670 nt
Organism: Pogoniulus pusillus (Red-fronted tinkerbird)
Lineage: Eukaryota; Metazoa; Chordata; Aves; Piciformes; Lybiidae
Exons: 3
Source: RefSeq, a predicted model, not a curated record